This 1392-nucleotide ribosomal RNA is filed under the name Triticum aestivum (bread wheat). RNAcentral's name for it is "partial small subunit ribosomal RNA". Lineage: Eukaryota; Viridiplantae; Streptophyta; Magnoliopsida; Poales; Poaceae. The record is from RNAcentral.
AUGGAAGCCGGCGAUCAUCGCGAUCAAUCCAUUGCCGGUGUGGCGGCGCACGCGCAGCUGCUGCCCGACGACAUCCUCGCGUGCGUCCUCCGCCGUCUCGAGCCACGCAGCCUCGCCGCGUCCCGCUGCGCCUGCAAAGGCUGGCGCGCCGUCGUCGACGGCCGCCGCCUGCUGCGGACGGACCUCCUCCCGCUCUCGCUCUACGGGAUCUUCUUCAUGGAGAUAGACGUCCUCUGCGGCGACCCCCCAAAGCUCUUCGCAAACCCGCUGACAAGUCGCAGGAUCAACGCAAACCUUGACUACACCGACAGGGAAGAGGGUUCACGCAUCAUCGAGAAUCACUGCAACGGACUCCUCCUGCUCUGGGGCAACAUGGUGGUCAACCCGGCCACCCGGCAAUGGGUGCGCCUGCCUCCGCCUCCGCCGCGGUGCACCGAGAGUGGGAUGGAGGGCUUCUACGACGACGUCUGCCUUGCCUUUGACCCCACCGUGUCCCCCGACUAUGAGGUAUAUAUGGUUCCUAGCGUCCCCUGCGAGCUUGAUCCCACGGCGACAAUAUUUACGGAGGAAUCGGAGUGGCCGCCCUCGUCAUGUGCAAUACGAGUCUUCUCUUCCAGGACAUGGAGAUGGGAGGAGAGGUCGUUCCUCCGCAGAGGAGAGGCUGCAGGCACCAUCGCCGACAUGCAGCAAUAUACAGAGUUCCAACGCCGUUACACCGUCUACUGGAAAGGGGCGCUUUAUGUGCACUGUCAAAAUGACUCCAUCAUGCGCAUAACAUUAUCGGAUGGUGCGUAUCAAGUGAUUAAAUCGCCAGCUGGGGGCAAGAUGAAUGGUUCUGCACAUCUUUAUCUUGGAAAAUCAAACAAGGGGGUGUACUGUGCUUUGAUUUAUCAUAAUCUUCAGCACCAGUUUCAGGUUUGGUUGCUGGAUGAAUCUUGUGGUAGAAUGGGGUGGGAGUUAAAGAAUGAUAUCAAAUUUGCGCCAGUGAUGGCAAAAAUUUCUUUGGUCAAGUAUAAGGAUGGAUUCCCCAACAAAAAAAAGCACAAGGAUCAAAACCUCAGACCUUGGAUCUUUCUGAGAGGUAAUUGUUUUGAUGAAGAUGUUAAGCAAGCACUAACGGAAGAUAAUGCUGAAUGGGACUACAGCAAGGGUUUUAUCCUUGAGACUCAAGAUCUUAAGGUUAAUUCUGACCACAUGCAUUUUGAAGAAGUCUAUUUCCUUGGAUUUCAUCCAUAUAAAGAGAUUGUCUUUUUGUGGAUGUCACGAGACACGGCAGUUGCUUAUGAUUUUAGUAGCUCUAAAGUACAGUGCUUGGGCAAGUUACACGCGCAUUGGAUCGGAAAGUCUUUUCCGUACACACCAUGUUGGAUAGGAGAGUUAUCUGAAAAAUAA